AAAAAAUUUAAUUAAGGACCCACAAGACUAGGAUGAGUUCCAUAACAAUGGGCACCUGGAAUGAUUCUUCUGGAUGUUGUCCGCUGGAUGGAAAAGAGAACGUGUCUAUGCUCAUCACCCCAGCAAAAUAGGCUACAAGUUACAGUCCUAGGAGGGAAUUGAGGUGGGAAGCACCUUUAAAUUCCUCUGCCCUCAACCAAGUGGAAUACCAGAGGACCACAGAGCAGAACAAAAAGCCUAUUUCAAAGAGUCAUCCUGUCCCAUGCUAACGUCGGAUUCGAAGAAAUCUCGAGGAAAAGGUUGUCAUUAUUUCAAGGAUCUCAUAUUUCGCAAUAGCCACACACACAGUGACAGGUAUUCAAGAAAGAAUCAAAAGCUUUGGGAGAAAAGUCAACUCUUCGAACACUGGCCAGGACAGCUCCCUCAAAACAACAACAUCAAAAGCAGAAUCAUUGAGAAUUUUAUUUGCCCUUUGUGGAACCUUGCUAUAAGCAAAUUGGUUUAGAUUCUAACCUGCGUAAUUCAGUAGCAUAAACAACAGGAAUUCUGCAGAUGCUGGAAAUUCAAGCAAAUUCAGUAGCAUUGUUUGUUAAAUUACCUUUUGAUUGUAAUGGCUUACUAUGGCCGCAUAUCAAAGAACAUGAAAUGAAAUGUUUAAGCUGUA
Mobula hypostoma (lesser devil ray) is the source of this 664-nucleotide long non-coding RNA. RefSeq lists it as uncharacterized. The record is from RefSeq and is a predicted model, not a curated record. The transcript has 4 exons. Lineage: Eukaryota; Metazoa; Chordata; Chondrichthyes; Myliobatiformes; Myliobatidae.